RNAcentral lists this ribosomal RNA (209 nucleotides) under uncultured bacterium. Its description in RNAcentral is "partial 16S ribosomal RNA". It matches the Rfam family "Bacterial small subunit ribosomal RNA", at positions 568 to 776 of the family's 1533-position model. The record is from RNAcentral.
UGCGUAGGCGGCUUGUUAAGUCUGGAGUGGAAGUCCUCUUUUUAAGGGAGGAAUUGCUUUGGAAACUGGCGAGCUUGAGUGCAGGAGAGGUUAUCGGAAUUCCCGGUGUAGCGGUGAAAUGCGUAGAGAUCGGGAGGAACACCAGUGGCGAAGGCGGGUAACUGGACUGCAACUGACGCUGAGGCGCGAAAGUGUGGGGAGGCAAAACA